CCAUCGGAUGUGCCCAGAUGGGAUUAGCUAGUAGGUGGGGUAAAGGCUCACCUAGGCGACGAUCCCUAGCUGGUCUGAGAGGAUGACCAGCCACACUGGAACUGAGACACGGUCCAGACUCCUACGGGAGGCAGCAGUGGGGAAUAUUGCACAAUGGGCGCAAGCCUGAUGCAGCCAUGCCGCGUGUAUGAAGAAGGCCUUCGGGUUGUAAAGUACUUUCAGCGGGGAGGAAGGGAGUAAAGUUAAUACCUUUGCUCAUUGACGUUACCCGCAGAAGAAGCACCGGCUAACUCCGUGCCAGCAGCCGCGGUAAUACGGAGGGUGCAAGCGUUAAUCGGAAUUACUGGGCGUAAAGCGCACGCAGGCGGUUUGUUAAGUCAGAUGUGAAAUCCCCGGGCUCAACCUGGGAACUGCAUCUGAUACUGGCAAGCUUGAGUCUCGUAGAGGGGGGUAGAAUUCCAGGUGUAGCGGUGAAAUGCGUAGAGAUCUGGAGGAAUA
Molecule: ribosomal RNA, 498 nt
Filed under: Escherichia coli
Lineage: Bacteria; Pseudomonadati; Pseudomonadota; Gammaproteobacteria; Enterobacterales; Enterobacteriaceae
Description: bacterial SSU rRNA
Rfam family: Bacterial small subunit ribosomal RNA
Source: RNAcentral